RNAcentral lists this ribosomal RNA (194 nucleotides) under uncultured bacterium. Its description in RNAcentral is "partial 16S ribosomal RNA". It matches the Rfam family "Bacterial small subunit ribosomal RNA", at positions 338 to 525 of the family's 1533-position model. The record is from RNAcentral.
UCUACGGGAGGCAGCAGUGGGGAAUCUUGCGCAAUGGGCGAAAGCCUGACGCAGCGACGCCGCGUGCGGGAAGAAGGCCUUCGGGUUGUAAACCGCUUUCAGGAGGGACGAAGCCACUCGGGUGAAUAGCCCAGAGGGUGACGGUACUUCCAGAAGAAGCCCCGGCUAACUACGUGCCAGCAGCCGCGGUAAUA